This 32-nucleotide ribosomal RNA is filed under the name Fucus distichus. RNAcentral describes it as "partial 18S ribosomal RNA". The record is from RNAcentral. Lineage: Eukaryota; Phaeophyceae; Fucales; Fucaceae.
UUUCCGUAGGUGAACCUGCGGAAGGAUCAUUN